Molecule: ribosomal RNA, 252 nt
Filed under: uncultured bacterium
Lineage: Bacteria
Description: partial 16S ribosomal RNA
Rfam family: Bacterial small subunit ribosomal RNA
Source: RNAcentral
UACGUAGGGAGCGAGCGUUGUCCGGAUUUAUUGGGCGUAAAGCGAGCGCAGGUGGUUUAUUAAGUCUGGUGUAAAAGGCAGUGGCUCAACCAUUGUAUGCAUUGGAAACUGGUAGACUUGAGUGCAGGAGAGGAGAGUGGAAUUCCAUGUGUAGCGGUGAAAUGCGUAGAUAUAUGGAGGAACACCGGUGGCGAAAGCGGCUCUCUGGCCUGUAACUGACACUGAGGCUCGAAAGCGUGGGGAGCAAACAGG